GGCUCUCUGUUUACAUAAAUAUAGGGAGUCGAGCCUGCCCAGUGAAUUUUUAAACGGCCGCGGUACUCUGACCGUGCAAAGGUAGCAUAAUCAUUUGCCUUAUAAUUGAAGGCUAGUAUGAAUGGUUUGACGAGAGCAACACUGUCUCCUUUUUAUUUUCAAGAACUUAACUUUUAGGUGAAGAGGCCUAAAUUUUAUUGAAGGACAAGAAGACCCUAUCGAGCUUAAAAGACAUUAUAGAAGUUUAUAUAUUUCUAAAUAAAUUUUCUAUCGAGCUUUUUAGUUGGGGCGACUAAGGAACAAAAAAAGCUUCUUGCUAAUAAUAGACAGUCAUGUUUAGAUCCGAUAAUAAUCGAUCAAAGAAAUUAGUUACCGUAGGGAUAACAGCAUAAUCUCUCUUGAGAGACCUAAUCGAAAGAGGGGGUUGUGACCUCGAUGUUGGACUAGAAUAUCCUAAAGAUGCAGAAGUCUUUGAAAGGUCGGUCUGUUCGACCGUUAAAAUUCU
Molecule: ribosomal RNA, 505 nt
Filed under: Juga plicifera
Lineage: Eukaryota; Metazoa; Mollusca; Gastropoda; Semisulcospiridae
Description: partial large subunit ribosomal RNA
Rfam family: Bacterial large subunit ribosomal RNA
Source: RNAcentral